AGUGAACGCUGGCGGUAGGCCUAACACAUGCAAGUCGAACGGCAGCACAGUAAGAGCUUGCUCUUACGGGUGGCGAGUGGCGGACGGGUGAGGAAUACAUCGGAAUCUACUUUUUCGUGGGGGAUAACGUAGGGAAACUUACGCUAAUACCGCAUACGACCUACGUGUGAAAGCAGGGGAUCUUCGGACCUUGCGCGAUUGAAUGAGCCGAUGUCGGAUUAGCUAGUUGGUGGGGUAAAGGCCCACCAAGGCGACGAUCCGUAGCUGGUCUGAGAGGAUGAUCAGCCACACUGGGACUGAGACACGGUCCAGACUCCUACGGGAGGCAGCAGUGGGGAAUAUUGGACAAUGGGCGCAAGCCUGAUCCAGCCAUACCGCGUGGGUGAAGAAGGCCUUCGGGUUGUAAAGCCCUUUUGUUGGGAAAGAAAAGCAGCAGGUUAAUACCCCGCUGUUCUGACGGUACCCAAAGAAUAAGCACCGGCUAACUUCGUG
This 492-nucleotide ribosomal RNA is filed under the name uncultured bacterium. RNAcentral describes it as "partial 16S ribosomal RNA". It matches the Rfam family "Bacterial small subunit ribosomal RNA", at positions 29 to 507 of the family's 1533-position model. The record is from RNAcentral.